RNAcentral lists this ribosomal RNA (119 nucleotides) under Paramuricea clavata. Lineage: Eukaryota; Metazoa; Cnidaria; Anthozoa; Malacalcyonacea; Plexauridae. The record is from RNAcentral.
GUCUACGACCAUACCACCCGGAAAACACCGGUUCUCGUCUGAUCACCGAAGUUAAGCCUGGUCGGGCGAAGUUAGUACUUGGAUGGGUGACUGCCUGGGAAUACGUCGUGUUGUAGGCU